AAGCGAAGUGGUGACGCGGAGCAAAUCCCAAAAAUAACGUCCCAGUUCGGAUUNUAGUCUGCAACCCGACUACAUGAAGCUGGAAUCGCUAGUAAUCGCGGAUCAGAAUGCCGCGGUGAAUACGUUCCCGGGUCUUGUACACACCGCCCGUCACACCAUGGGAGGUCGGAAAUGCCCGAAGUCUGUGACCUAACCGUAAGGAGGGAGCUGCCUAAGGUGGGGUAGAUGAUUGGGGUGAAGUCGUAACAAGGUAGC
RNAcentral lists this ribosomal RNA (255 nucleotides) under uncultured bacterium. Its description in RNAcentral is "partial 16S ribosomal RNA". It matches the Rfam family "Bacterial small subunit ribosomal RNA", at positions 1247 to 1500 of the family's 1533-position model. The record is from RNAcentral.